UACGAAGGGGGCGAGCGUUGUUCGGAAUUACUGGGCGUAAAGGGUGCGUAGGCGGCCAUGUAAGUAGGGUGUGAAAUCCCCCGGCUUAACCGGGGAACUGCGCCCUAAACUGUAUGGCUGGAGUGAGAUAGGGGUGUGUGGAACUUCCGGUGGAGCGGUGAAAUGUGUUGAUAUCGGAAGGAACGCCGGUGGCGAAAGCGACACACUGGGUCUCAACUGACGCUGAGGCACGAAAAGCCAGGGGAGCGAACGGGGAUUAGAAAACCCCCUGUG
RNAcentral lists this ribosomal RNA (273 nucleotides) under uncultured bacterium. RNAcentral describes it as "partial 16S ribosomal RNA". It matches the Rfam family "Bacterial small subunit ribosomal RNA", at positions 524 to 793 of the family's 1533-position model. The record is from RNAcentral.